GAUGAACGCUGGCGGCGUGCCUAAUACAUGCGAGUCGAGCGAACGGACGAGAAGCUUGCUUCUCUGAUGUUAGCGGCGGACGGGUGAGUAACACGUGGAUAACCUACCUAUAAGACUGGGAUAACUUCGGGAAACCGGAGCUAAUACCGGAUAAUAUUUUGAACCGCAUGGUUCAAAAGUGAAAGACGGUCUUGCUGUCACUUAUAGAUGGAUCCGCGCUGCAUUAGCUAGUUGGUAAGGUAACGGCUUACCAAGGCAACGAUGCAUAGCCGACCUGAGAGGGUGAUCGGCCACACUGGAACUGAGACACGGUCCCGACUCCUACGGGAGGCAGCAGUAGGGAAUCUUCCGCAAUGGGCGAAACCCUGACGGAGCAACGCCGCGUGAGUGAUGAAGGUCUUCGGAUCGUAAAACUCUGUUAUUAGGGAAGAACAUAUGUGUAAGUAACUGUGCACAUCUUGACGGUACCUAAUCAGAAAGCCACGGCUAACUACGUG
RNAcentral lists this ribosomal RNA (497 nucleotides) under uncultured bacterium. RNAcentral describes it as "partial 16S ribosomal RNA". It matches the Rfam family "Bacterial small subunit ribosomal RNA", at positions 28 to 507 of the family's 1533-position model. The record is from RNAcentral.